UGUAGUUUGCUUUUGAAUGCUCAUUUGUGCCAUUUGGGGAAGUUGGAGCCAGGGUUGACUUAAAAGAUGCAGGGGUUACAGAGGAUGAUGUAGAUUGCUUUAAGGACGAAAGAGGUACAUUACUUGAGAAUAUAAAAGGUUUAGAAGACAGUGGAGAUGGCUCAGAGUGUGAUGUUUGAAAUUUUAGGAUAGGUGAUGUGUUCUUUUCAACCUGUUUGUUGGUGGCUUUUGAAUGCUCAUUUGUGGCAUUUGGGGAAGUUGGAGCCAGAGUUGACUUAAAAGAUGCAGGGGUUACAGAGGAUGAUGUAGAUUGCUUUAAGGACGAAAGAGGUACAUUACUUGAGAAUGUAAAAGGUUUAGAAGACAGUGGAGAUGGCUCAGAGUGUGAUGUUUGAAAUUUUAGGAUAGGUGAUGUGCUCUUUUCAACCUGUUUGUUGGUGGCUUUUGUCUGUUGAUUGGUCACAUUUGAGAAAGCCGGAGUCAAAGUUAGUUUAAAAGAUGGUGGGUGCUUAAAGGAUAAUGGAGAAGACUCCGAGGAAGAUAAUGAUGCUUU
RNAcentral lists this long non-coding RNA (553 nucleotides) under Jatropha curcas. RNAcentral's name for it is "long non-coding RNA (JCUR_LNC000153)". Lineage: Eukaryota; Viridiplantae; Streptophyta; Magnoliopsida; Malpighiales; Euphorbiaceae. The record is from RNAcentral.